AGUGAACGCUGGCGGUAGGCCUAACACAUGCAAGUCGAACGGCAGCACAGUAAGAGCUUGCUCUUACGGGUGGCGAGUGGCGGACGGGUGAGGAAUACAUCGGAAUCUACUUUUUCGUGGGGGAUAACGUAGGGAAACUUACGCUAAUACCGCAUACGACCUACGGGUGAAAGCAGGGGAUCUUCGGACCUUGCGCGAUUGAAUGAGCCGAUGUCGGAUUAGCUAGUUGGCGGGGUAAAGGCCCACCAAGGCGACGAUCCGUAGCUGGUCCGAGAGGAUGAUCAGCCACACUGGAACUGAGACACGGUCCAGACUCCUACGGGAGGCAGCAGUGGGGAAUAUUGGACAAUGGGCGCAAGCCGGAUCCAGCCAUACCGCGUGGGUGAAGAAGGCCUUCGGGUUGUAAAGCCCUUUUGUUGGGAAAGAAAAGCAGCAGGUUAAUACCCCGCUGUUCUGACGGUACCUAAAGAAUAAGCACCGGCUAACUUCGUG
RNAcentral lists this ribosomal RNA (492 nucleotides) under uncultured bacterium. RNAcentral describes it as "partial 16S ribosomal RNA". It matches the Rfam family "Bacterial small subunit ribosomal RNA", at positions 29 to 507 of the family's 1533-position model. The record is from RNAcentral.